Molecule: unclassified non-coding RNA, 301 nt
Filed under: fungal sp.
Lineage: Eukaryota; Fungi
Description: partial internal transcribed spacer region
Rfam family: Eukaryotic small subunit ribosomal RNA (bases 1-46)
Source: RNAcentral
AAGUCGUAACAAGGUAUCCGUAGGUGAACCUGCGGAUGGAUCAUUAUCACGUUAUCCACGUAUAAACCAAUCGUUGAACAGUUAUUGUUACCUUUGUUAGUAUGGAUUUUUUGGGGAAACCCUAAAAAUCUUGAACACAAAGUGUAUUACUAUUCUAAUACUAUAUUAACCAAUCGAACCAUUUCUAUAAUGUUUUUCUUUGUGUGAACUGAAUUGUUUCUUACUCGUCAUUCACUUGGUGAGAAGAAAACUAUUUACGAAACAUAUCGAACAACUCUUAGCAACGGAUAUCUUGGUUCUC